This 461-nucleotide ribosomal RNA is filed under the name uncultured bacterium. RNAcentral's name for it is "bacterial SSU rRNA". It matches the Rfam family "Bacterial small subunit ribosomal RNA", at positions 29 to 533 of the family's 1533-position model. The record is from RNAcentral.
AACGAACGCUGGCGGCAUGCCUAACACAUGCAAGUCGAACGAGACCUUCGGGUCUAGUGGCGCACGGGUGCGUAACGCGUGGGAAUCUGCCCUUGGGUUCGGAAUAACUUCGGGAAACUGAAGCUAAUACCGGAUGAUGACGUAAGUCCAAAGAUUUAUCGCCCAAGGAUGAGCCCGCGUAGGAUUAGCUAGUUGGUGAGGUAAAGGCUCACCAAGGCGACGAUCCUUAGCUGGUCUGAGAGGAUGAUCAGCCACACUGGGACUGAGACACGGCCCAGACUCCUACGGGAGGCAGCAGUGGGGAAUAUUGGACAAUGGGCGAAAGCCUGAUCCAGCAAUGCCGCGUGAGUGAUGAAGGCCUUAGGGUUGUAAAGCUCUUUUACCCGGGAUGAUAAUGACAGUACCGGGAGAAUAAGCUCCGGCUAACUCCGUGCCAGCAGCCGCGGUAAAGUGACUACUGU